GCCAUCAAAACACAAAGUAUUUUAUUUGUGACUCCAACCUAGACUUUACUUUUUAAUUCAAACAAUUAAGAAAGAUGGUGAAGAUUGCAAUCAAGAUCUCAUUUGUAAUGAUUCUUCUCGUUUUAGUAGUCACCAAUGGAUUUGGUCUCCCAACAACACCAACAAAUGUGGUGCCUCAACAAAAGGAUUGCCCUGGUGGUUGCAAUUAUCUAAUAAAUGCAUGUUAUCCACUAUUUCCUGCGUGUAAUAAUGGCAGGUGUACAUGUGCAAAGUUAGACGCAAACUAUGUCAUAGAUGGUGAAAAGGAAAACUAGUACCUAGAUGCAAACCAUUAGAAAUAAUUAAUGCUAUAUUAGUUUACCUAUAUUUUAAUAAUAAAAAUAUUGAAAUAUAAUAAUUUGUUAUGACUCAUGAAUGUGAAAUUUGUGUGGUCUUGUGUACUUUUAUAUAUUACCAUGGAAUUAUUAAAUAAAGAAAUAACUUUACAAGU
Long non-coding RNA from Arachis duranensis, 490 nucleotides. RefSeq lists it as uncharacterized. The transcript has 2 exons. The record is from RefSeq and is a predicted model, not a curated record. NCBI's taxonomy places the organism in Eukaryota, Viridiplantae, Streptophyta, Magnoliopsida, Fabales, Fabaceae.